This 989-nucleotide long non-coding RNA is filed under the name Homo sapiens (human). RNAcentral's name for it is "novel transcript". Lineage: Eukaryota; Metazoa; Chordata; Mammalia; Primates; Hominidae. The record is from RNAcentral.
GAUGGAGUCUGCCCCAGGAUGACUUUUGACUUCCUCGUCUUGCCCAGUGCCCUGCCUUCAGCUAAAAACUGAGUUUCUCCCUAUGGGUUUCCACCUUUCAAAGCCCAUCUUCACUGUCACUUUGUCCAGGGAGCCAUCCCUGAUUCUCCCAGGUGGAGAAACUGAGGCUCAGAUAAAUGACUAAGAAGUAAAGUGAGGUCCCAUAGCCAGUGAAUGGCAGAGCAGGGAUUCGAACCCAGGUCUCUCAUCUGGGAAGUGGGAUGAUAGCGCCAACCUAGCUGGAUUGCUGUGACUGCCAGCACAAUGCCUUCUAAGGGUUCAAGAUGAGAUUACUUAGUCCCAGAUGGGUUAAGUAACUGGCCCAAGGUCACAGCGCUGGUAAGCAACUGGGCUUCAAUCCAACCAUCCUGACUCCAGAAGCCUCUUUGAACUACCACCUUCUGCACCUGCCCCAGGGCUUCUUCGCCUGAGCCGGUGCCUUGCUGCCGCCCUGCUCAUCUCUUCUGGGAAGAUGCCUCUCAUCUUGCCAGUCCUCAAGCCAGAAGCCUCCGGUGCUGCCCUAGGGCUCCCUGAAUAGGCAUCCCUAAGGCAUCCCUCCUGGUGUUCAAACCACAUCCUUCCUGGCUAAGCUUCCAUUCCCCAGGGUAGCCCUCCACACUUUGGAGCCUCAGCUCACCUCUCACUCUCACACUUCAGUUUCACACUUCCCUUCUGAAUGGUCCCACCUCUGUGCUUUUGCUUAAGCUGUGCACACUUCCCAGAGUGCUCUUUCCCCUAUGUCUGCCUGUGCUCCAAUACCCUAUGCCUGAGCUGACCCAUGACAUACAAGCACCUACAGAGGCCUGGGGGAAGGAGGCAGUGGUAUGUGUGUCAGUGUGGGGAGUCAGUGAAGAGGUUUGGGGCUUUAGGGUCAGUUAUGUGACUUCAGGGCAAGUCCCCAUCUCCCUGAACCCCAGUUUCUGCAAAAUGAAGAUAUCCAUCCCAGCUUC